This 253-nucleotide ribosomal RNA is filed under the name uncultured bacterium. RNAcentral describes it as "partial 16S ribosomal RNA". It matches the Rfam family "Bacterial small subunit ribosomal RNA", at positions 524 to 776 of the family's 1533-position model. The record is from RNAcentral.
UACGGAGGGUGCAAGCGUUAUCCGGAUUUACUGGGCUUAAAGGGUGCGUAGGCGGGUAGGUAAGUCAGUGGUGAAAUCUUCGAGCUUAACUCGGAAACUGCCAUUGAUACUAUUUAUCUUGAAUACUCUGGAGGUAAGCGGAAUAUGUCAUGUAGCGGUGAAAUGCUUAGAUAUGACAUAGAACACCAAUUGCGAAGGCAGCUUACUACAUAGUUAUUGACACUGAGGCACGAAAGCGUGGGGAGCAAACAGG